AUUGAACGCUGGCGGCAGGCCUAACACAUGCAAGUCGAACGGUAACAGGAAGCAGCUUGCUGCUUUGCUGACGAGUGGCGGACGGGUGAGUAAUGUCUGGGAAACUGCCCGAUGGAGGGGGAUAACUACUGGAAACGGUAGCUAAUACCGCAUAACGUCGCAAGACCAAAGAGGGGGACCUUAGGGCCUCUUGCCAUCGGAUGUGCCCAGAUGGGAUUAGCCAGUAGGUGGGGUAACGGCUCACCUAGGCGACGAUCCCUAGCUGGUCUGAGAGGAUGACCAGCCACACUGGAACUGAGACACGGUCCAGACUCCUACGGGAGGCAGCAGUGGGGAAUAUUGCACAAUGGGCGCAAGCCUGAUGCAGCCAUGCCGCGUGUAUGAAGAAGGCCUUCGGGUUGUAAAGUACUUUCAGCGGGGAGGAAGGGAGUAAAGUUAAUACCUUUGCUCAUUGACGUUACCCGCAGAAGAAGCACCGGCUAACUCCGUG
Molecule: ribosomal RNA, 490 nt
Filed under: uncultured bacterium
Lineage: Bacteria
Description: partial 16S ribosomal RNA
Rfam family: Bacterial small subunit ribosomal RNA
Source: RNAcentral